AGUGAACGCUGGCGGUAGGCCUAACACAUGCCAGUCGAACGGCAGCACAGUAAGAGCUUGCUCUUACGGGUGGCGAGUGGCGGACGGGUGAGGAAUACAUCGGAAUCUACUUUUUCGUGGGGGAUAACGUAGGGAAACUUACGCUAAUACCGCAUACGACCUACGGGUGAAAGCAGGGGAUCUUCGGACCUUGCGCGAUUGAAUGAGCCGAUGUCGGAUUAGCUAGUUGGCGGGGUAAAGGCCCACCAAGGCGACGAUCCGUAGCUGGUCUGAGAGGAUGGUCAGCCACACUGGAACUGAGACACGGUCAAGACUCCUACGGGAGGCAGCAGUGGGGAAUAUUGGACAAUGGGCGCAAGCCUGAUCCAGCCAUACCGCGUGGGUGAAGAAGGCCUUCGGGUUGUAAAGCCCUUUUGUUGGGAAAGAAAAGCAGCAGGUUAAUACCCCGCUGUUCUGACGGUACCCAAAGAAUAAGCACCGGCUAACUUCGUG
Molecule: ribosomal RNA, 492 nt
Filed under: uncultured bacterium
Lineage: Bacteria
Description: partial 16S ribosomal RNA
Rfam family: Bacterial small subunit ribosomal RNA
Source: RNAcentral